This 497-nucleotide ribosomal RNA is filed under the name uncultured bacterium. Its description in RNAcentral is "partial 16S ribosomal RNA". It matches the Rfam family "Bacterial small subunit ribosomal RNA", at positions 28 to 507 of the family's 1533-position model. The record is from RNAcentral.
GAUGAACGCUGGCGGCGUGCCUAAUACAUGCAAGUCGAGCGAACAGAUGAGGAGCUUGCUCCUCUGACGUUAGCGGCGGACGGGUGAGUAACACGUGGAUAACCUACCUAUAAGACUGGGAUAACUUCGGGAAACCGGAGCUAAUACCGGAUAAUAUAUUGAACCGCAUGGUUCAAUAGUGAAAGACGGUUUUGCUGUCACUUAUAGAUGGAUCCGCGCCGCAUUAGCUAGUUGGUAAGGUAACGGCUUACCAAGGCAACGAUGCGUAGCCGACCUGAGAGGAUGAUCGGGCAAACUGGAACUGAGACAAGGUCCAGACCCCUAAGGGAGGCAGGCGUAGGGAAUUCUUCCGAAUGGGAGAAAGCCUUACCGAGCCACGCCGCGUUGGGGAAGAAAGUUCUCCGAUUCGAAAAACCCUUUAUUUGGGAAGAAACAAUGUGUAAGUAACUAUGCACGUCUUGACGGUACCUAAUCAGAAAGCCACGGCUAACUACGUG